ACUCGAGUGGCGAACGGGUGAGUAACACGUGGGUGAUCUGCCCUGCACUUCGGGAUAAGCUUGGGAAACUGGGUCUAAUACCGGAUAGGACCAUGCUUUAGUGUGUGUGGUGGAAAGUUUUUCGGUGUAGGAUGAGCCCGCGGCCUAUCAGCUUGUUGGUGGGGUAAUGGCCUACCAAGGCGGCGACGGGUAGCCGGACUGAGAGGUUGGUCGGCCACAUUGGGACUGAGAUACGGCCCAG
RNAcentral lists this ribosomal RNA (241 nucleotides) under uncultured Actinomycetales bacterium. Its description in RNAcentral is "partial 16S ribosomal RNA". It matches the Rfam family "Bacterial small subunit ribosomal RNA", at positions 89 to 334 of the family's 1533-position model. The record is from RNAcentral. Lineage: Bacteria; Bacillati; Actinomycetota; Actinomycetes; Actinomycetales.